GUGGGGAAUCUUCCGCAAUGGACGAAAGUCUGACGGAGCGACGCCGCGUGAGUGAAGAAGGCCUUCGGGUCGUAAAGCUCUGUCAUCAGGGACGAACGGCCGGUGGAGUGGAAAGCCACCGGAUUGACGGUACCUGAGAAGGAAGCCACGGCUAACUACGUGCCAGCAGCCGCGGUAAUACGUAGGUGGCAAGCGUUGUCCGGAAUUAUUGGGCGUAAAGCGCGCGCAGGUGGGAUCUUAAGUCCAUUUUUAAAGUUCGGAGCUCAACUCCGUGAUGGGAUGGAAACUGGGAUUCUUGAGUACCGGAGAGGAAAGCGGAAUUCCCCGUGUAGCGGUGAAAUGCGUAGAUAUUAGGAAGAACACCAGUGGCGAAGGCGACUUUCUGGACGAAAACUGACGCUGAGGCGCGAAAGCCAGGGGAGCGAACGGGAUUAGAAACCCGUGUAGUCC
This 450-nucleotide ribosomal RNA is filed under the name uncultured bacterium. RNAcentral's name for it is "partial 16S ribosomal RNA". It matches the Rfam family "Bacterial small subunit ribosomal RNA", at positions 354 to 796 of the family's 1533-position model. The record is from RNAcentral.